RNAcentral lists this ribosomal RNA (3064 nucleotides) under Triticum aestivum (bread wheat). RNAcentral's name for it is "partial small subunit ribosomal RNA". Lineage: Eukaryota; Viridiplantae; Streptophyta; Magnoliopsida; Poales; Poaceae. The record is from RNAcentral.
AUCCCUUUCCCCCUCCCUUCCUUCCAGUCUACUCCUUCUCCUCCUCCACCUCUCCCAAAUCACCGAACCCCGCGAAAUCGGCAGAUUUGCGCCGCGGGAGCGCGCCGCGACGGGUCGAUGGCCGCCGCCGCGUUCUCCAUCAGGGCGUACGCGGCGAGCAUGAGGGGCGGGACGGCGGGGGGGCGGCGUCUCUUGGGAAUCGAGGAUCUCCCGCCUCUCGGAGCGCCGAGGUGCCGGUGGUGGGCGGACGAGCUCGCCUCCACCGUGGCUGCCGCAGCUGCGGCGGCGGCAUCCUCGAGGAGGGCGCAAGUGAAGGCGAAGCCGCCGAAGAAGCGGUCCAUCUCCGACCUCUUCGCCGCGGCGCCCCCCUUGGCCGUGCCUCCCGCCGGUGAUACCGGAUGCAAAGAGCAAAUGGAGGUGGACGGCGACGAGGCGGUGUGCGCGAUCGCGAGGCGGGCCAAGGAGGAUAAGAAACGAAAGAAAAAGCUGCAAGAAGAGGAAGAGGGGCAGAAGGAGGAGACGACGGCAGUGGAUGCCGCGCCGGAGAGCUGCGGAGGCCGAGAGGCCGAGGGGAAUUUCGCUGCAAGAAAGGAAGCACUUGAAAAUCCAAACCUGUUUGAUGGACUGGAUACUCACUCAUUACAGAAACCUGAGGCUUCACAACAUCACAGAGAAGAGAGAGAAAAGAUAUCUGAGAGAAGGAAGCAGGGGAAGAUCAAUAAUAUAAACAAGAAGAAGGCUAACACACAAAAGCACAUCGGCAACAGUAAAGCUGACAAAGUGGGGAAACCACGAGAUCUGGAAAAUUUUAUCCCUAGGCAUGGCAUUCUAAAGUGCACAAAGCACACAUCAGUGAAAAUGGUCAAGGAGAAACGUGGCAAUUCAGAAGGCAAGGAAGUAAUAGAACUCUGCCGCAAAUCAGUGAAACGUGUCAAAUUCUCAGAAGCAGAUGCUAUACUUGAGCUACCAGAACGACAAACUCUCUGCAAGAUGUUUUCAGAUAUUAUGGCUUCUUCAUCGUCGUCCUCGUCAUCAUCAUCAUCAUUCACGUCUACCGAAGGAGACAAAUGCAUAACUGCAGAAAGUGGUGGUUCUCAUAUGCCCAUGGAAGCUUCCACUAAGGCGAAAGCAAAUAAGAAUUCAGAUCAUGAGGAUUCUCCUGACAAAAGCAUAACUGCAGAAAGUGGUACUUCUCAUAUUGCCAUGGAAGCUUUCACUAAGAAGAAAGAAGCAAAUAAGAAUUCAGAUCAUGAGGAUUCUCCUGAGGCUGGUAACAGAGAGAUGGCUGCUCCUCUCAUUGAUCUGAAUAUGGUGUUACCGGAAUCUACUGAACUGGACCAAAGGUAUGAUUCAUAUUCAGAGGUGCCAAAUCUGGAGCAUACACAUGAGGAAACUUAAGUUCUAUUGUCCAAUUGCAUGAUGGGAGAGAAAACCUGAAGAUUUUUUCUGUUGAUUCACAUAGGCUGGAAAGCGAACAAUCUACUGCUGACUUGGAAAGAAUAACGAAUUCAAGUUCGGCAGGCACAUUAUUGCAUGGUGGGGCUAUAAAAGUUUCUGAUGUAGAUGCUGCUGGUUCUCCAUUGAGCUUAACUGAACUUGCACAGACUCAUCGUGGUUGCAGUAAUGUUUCAGUAAAAGAUACUAUGACUAUGAGUACAUCUCCUUGUGCAUUGCCAGAUCAUACAUUUCCGGAUUCAUUUCGGCAGCACCAGAGUUGGUUUUCCACAAGCGGCAAAUUUUCUUCCUGGCCAUCUCAUGAAUCUAAUGUGUCACACAGUAAGGAGUUCAAUUUUCGUUCUGAGUUGAACAUUCCGCGUGAGAAUGGACCUUCCACAGGACCGACAGUUCGUUUGAUGGGUAAAGAUCUUUCAAUUUGCACGACCAGAGCUGAAUCGUUUUCGGAGACUGCGCAGAAGCAUACAGGUACUUUUACCAAUGACUAUCUCAACGCAAAUGUGUUCUUGCCACAACAAGGACGGCCUUUUCUCUCUUUACAAGCUCAGAAUUUCCCCAAUGAUACAGCAAAUUCUACCAGUAUAAUUCAUGCUUCAACAUAUCAUGCAAGCGCAAGUCAGGCACAGACUAGACAUGAUUACGGCCACCCCGUCCCGGCAGCUAAUUUUCUUUCUGGAGAUCAGUUGACAUAUGAAAACAGGUUUUUUGAUUUUUCAAACUCGCAGACCAAUCAGCCUUUUCUGUUGGGGUGCCCACAUCCUCCCAAUCGUGGCAGUGCAGCAUUCCAACAGAAUUCCCCGUUGCGCCGUUAUUACUCUGAUCCUAUCCCUAGGACAGAAGCACCCACAGCAUCACCUUUGCCUAUUACCAGACAGCAUGGUACACCAUCUUUCGGUUUCCAUGCCAAUUUGCCUCAGCAACAUGUUGUGCAUCCAGCAAGCUCGUCAGUUUGUCGUCUUAAUUCUGUGGAUUUUACAUUCAACCAUCCAGACCGGGUAGUUCAUACACCUUCCAACAGCAUAAGAGAUGCAACCCUUUCGGCAAGAAAUACAGAUAGCACAGUGGGGAGCGCUGUUCUUGGCAAUUUUAAUGCUUCACCUAGUGGUCGGUAUGUGCAGAAGAGAUCAGGCCCAGUGAAGCUCACUCCUGGGGCGAAGCAUGUACUGGUGCCAAACGAUAGCACAGGUGACGGCGAUUCUACGCCUGUGUACUCUUGUGUUUCGUUUGAUAGUAGGAGCACAAAUGCUGCAGGUCCUCAGAACAAAGGAGCAUGAUGCCCUUAGUGGAACUUUUGCUUGGUUGCAGUUGCAUGAAUCUAUAAAACAUCGGCACUGUUUUUAUUCAGUUUCAUUCAUUUAGUUGGAACCUUUUGAAAAAUGUUUGUUACAUUUUUUUGUUUUAACAGUUGGGAUGUUUCAAAUGCUGCUUCGUUAGUAGUUAUUUCGUCAGCUGAACCUGAAUCCAUGGCUGGUGUAGCCUAAGACAUGUAGUCUGUUAUAUUUCUGUAUUGUUACUCUUGGUCUGAAAGUUAAAUAGAUGUUAUUGGCACAAAAUGUUACCUACAUAUUUGCAAGGUUCAUUUUCAAUAGAGCAGGCCCCGAGCUCAUGC